RNAcentral lists this long non-coding RNA (161 nucleotides) under Anser brachyrhynchus (Pink-footed goose). Its description in RNAcentral is "lncRNA (ENSABRG00000023209.1)". The record is from RNAcentral. Lineage: Eukaryota; Metazoa; Chordata; Aves; Anseriformes; Anatidae.
AGACCGUGACCACCCAGACAGGAAGGAGGUGGUGGGGGACACCAUGAGAUGUCUGCUCCCUUAUGCAUGGUUAGGCAGAGAUUACCGAACUAUAAGUGUGCCACUGACUCUAUCCUAGGAUCAGCAGCUUGUGGGAGAAUCAUGGAAUACUUACCAAAGUA